Molecule: ribosomal RNA, 424 nt
Filed under: uncultured prokaryote
Description: bacterial SSU rRNA
Rfam family: Bacterial small subunit ribosomal RNA
Source: RNAcentral
UGGGGAAUCUUAGACAAUGGGGGAAGCCCUGAUCUAGCCAUGCCGCGUGAGUGACGAAGGCCCUAGGGUCGUAAAGCUCUUUCGCCAGGGAAGAUAAUGACGGUACCUGGUAAAGAAACCCCGGCUAACUCCGUGCCAGCAGCCGCGGUAAUACGAAGGGGGCUAGCGUUGUUCGGAAUUACUGGGCGUAAAGCGCACGUAGGCGGACCAUUAAGUCAGGGGUGAAAUCCCGGGGCUCAACCUCGGAAUUGCCUUUGAUACUGGUGGUCUUGAGUGCGAGAGAGGUGAGUGGAACUCCGAGUGUAGAGGUGAAAUUCGUAGAUAUUCGGAAGAACACCAGUGGCGAAGGCGGCUCACUGGCUCGGUACUGACGCUGAGGUGCGAAAGCGUGGGGAGCAAACAGGAUUAGAUACCCCGGUAGUCC